This 88-nucleotide transfer RNA is filed under the name Dehalococcoidia bacterium. Its description in RNAcentral is "tRNA-Tyr". It matches the Rfam family "tRNA". From Rfam's summary of the family: Transfer RNA (tRNA) molecules are approximately 80 nucleotides in length. Their secondary structure includes four short double-helical elements and three loops (D, anti-codon, and T loops). Further hydrogen bonds mediate the characteristic L-shaped molecular structure. tRNAs have two regions of fundamental functional importance: the anti-codon, which is responsible for specific mRNA codon recognition, and the 3' end, to which the tRNAs corresponding amino acid is attached (by aminoacyl-tRNA synthetases). tRNAs cope with the degeneracy of the genetic code in two manners: having more than one tRNA (with a specific anti-codon) for a particular amino acid; and 'wobble' base-pairing, i.e. permitting non-standard base-pairing at the 3rd anti-codon position. The record is from RNAcentral. Lineage: Bacteria; Bacillati; Chloroflexota; Dehalococcoidia.
GGACGGGUGGGUGAGUGGUUAAUACCACCAGACUGUAAAUCUGGCGCCCGGAAGGGCUACGGGGGUUCGAAUCCCUCCCCGGCCACCA